This is a long non-coding RNA of Thamnophis elegans (Western terrestrial garter snake), 1784 nucleotides long. RefSeq lists it as uncharacterized. The record is from RefSeq and is a predicted model, not a curated record. The transcript has 5 exons. Lineage: Eukaryota; Metazoa; Chordata; Lepidosauria; Squamata; Natricidae.
AUAACUGCUGCACACAUUCACAAAUUUUGCAGAUGUGAUUGUACCAGAUCCUGGAAACAGGAAAUUUCUAGCAAACAACACACAGAUGUUUCUGCAAAUGGAAGACAGGAGGCUAUUCUACAUGUGGAAUGGUUGAAGUUUCUGGACACCAAAUAGACAGAGGCCUCCUUUUCAAAAUGCAGCCUGCCUCAGACUUAAUUCUCUGCCUGCGUACUUCUCCUGGCUUGGAAUAAAGGGGAGAGAGAGAGAACAGAGAGGAAGAUGAUCUGCACUUUGCCUCCUGAAAUGGCCUGGCCUGUUGGUUUCUUCUUUUCCUAGCAUGCCUUCUCCAAAUGUCUUGAGAGACUGAGGAUCUCAUAAUGGAAGGUGUAAGUGAAAAGUGAAAUGGCAGGCUUAAUGUGAGCCAGGCUCUUCUGGAGUGUAUACAGUUUAGCCUACUAGGAUCCUUGAAAGGCUGUUGACCGGACCAAAAUGCCUGUCCACAUUUUAACAAGCGCAUCGAAGAAACCUACGUGGAGGAACUUCUUCCCCCCAAGAAGAAAUGCAACUCAUAAACUUUCCUGGAUCCAGUGUUUGGGAUGGGAGGGAUUUGGCAUUGUUUAUGCAUUAUGCCCCUUAUUCUGUUUUUCAUGCAGAAGUGAGAGGCUUAUCAGAUCCCGAUUAGAAAGCAGUGGGAGGUUUAUUUACUUUACUCUCUUACACAAUAAAUAUUUCAUUAAUUGGUGAAUAACUGCUAUGUUUGUUAAAGCUGCAAAGGGUAAUACUACUAAAUUGCUGCAAAAUACUUGUGAUAACUUUGGACUCCAGCAGCAACCUUAAACGCACACCCAUCUGAAAAAACACUAGCUGGUAAUGCUGCUGUAAAGCAUGCCUUCUUAAAAGGGGUACUUUCGAACUCCUUUCUUCCAAGUGUUCUUUUCUGAUUCUUACCCCUGCUCUUAGUAGCAGGAAAAGGGGUAAUCUGUGAAGAGCUGUGCGGCUUACUUAAAAUACCAUCUGAUGCAAUGGGUGGUGAACCUCUGCUGUAGAUGCCACUUAGAACUGGGUCAAGCAGCCAAAUUCAGUGGCUGGGAAAGAAACAGCAAAAAUUACUCCGCAGAGUGGGGAGAAUCUUCGAUUUGCAGCAAAAUGUAGCAGUUACAUUUUUGGAAGGUGAUCUUGGCCCAUUAAAUGUAUUACAGCUGCCCAAUCAGAAAAUUUCCAAGCAAUGUUCUUUUCAAGGGCACUGCCUUUCCAUACAAUUGGUUGUUUGCAACCUUUCCGGUUCCCUGUAUUCAUGGAUUUGUGUUCCCUUAGAGAUCCCAGGCGAGACAAUAUAGCCAUCUCUUGGGAGUUCAUGGCACCUGCAAGCAUUAGUCACAAAUGAAAUAACUAAAGUACAUUUUUCAUGCAGCUUGUCUGCAAUAAGCUUGUUUGCAGCAAGCUUAUUGACCUUAAAUAAAAGAGGUGGUUAUUCCUAUUGAAAGACUAAAUGUAUGAAUGAGGUAUCCAUAAUGAUGUCCUUCAGUAAUGGGAAAGUAGCAGCUGCCUUUGGUUCAUUGAUGUCAAAAUUAGCUAUGCUAUACCACUAGUGCAGUGGUUCCCAAACUUGGCAACUUUAAGACUUUAAGAGCUCUGCUGGCUGGAGAAUUCUAGGAGUUGAAGUCCACAAGUCUUAAAGUUGCCAAGUUUGGGAACCACUGCACUAGUGGGUAGUCCUGCCAUUGAACUGCUCUGUUUCCCUUUGCUUUCUAAACUUGCCUUAUGUCAGGUGGACCCCAAGAACAUGAUCUUUGAAAUGGGUU